Molecule: ribosomal RNA, 508 nt
Filed under: uncultured bacterium
Lineage: Bacteria
Description: partial 16S ribosomal RNA
Rfam family: Bacterial small subunit ribosomal RNA
Source: RNAcentral
GACGAACGCUGGCGGCGUGCCUAAUACAUGCAAGUCGAACGCUUCUUUCCUCCCGAGUGCUUGCACUCAAUUGGAAAGAGGAGUGGCGGACGGGUGAGUAACACGUGGGUAACCUACCCAUCAGAGGGGGAUAACACUUGGAAACAGGUGCUAAUACCGCAUAACAGUUUAUGCCGCAUGGCAUAAGAGUGAAAGGCGCUUUGGGGUGUGGCGAAGGGAUGGACCCGCGGUGCAUUAGCUAGUUGGUGAGGUAACGGCUCACCAAGGCCACGAUGCAUAGCCGACCUGAGAGGGUGAUCGGCCACACUGGGACUGAGACACGGCCCAGACUCCUACGGGAGGCAGCAGUAGGGAAUCUUCGGCAAUGGACGAAAGUCUGACCGAGCAACGCCGCGUGAGUGAAGAAGGUUUUCGGAUCGUAAAACUCUGUUGUUAGAGAAGAACAAGGACGUUAGUAACUGAACGUCCCCUGACGGUAUCUAACCAGAAAGCCACGGCUAACUACGUG